Molecule: ribosomal RNA, 448 nt
Filed under: uncultured bacterium
Lineage: Bacteria
Description: bacterial SSU rRNA
Rfam family: Bacterial small subunit ribosomal RNA
Source: RNAcentral
UGGGGAAUCUUGCGCAAUGGGCGAAAGCCUGACGCAGCCAUGCCGCGUGAAUGAUGAAGGUCUUAGGAUUGUAAAAUUCUUUUCACCGGGGACGAUAAUGACGGUACCCGGAGAAGAAGCCCCGGCUAACUUCGUGCCAGCAGCCGCGGUAAUACGAAGGGGGCUAGCGUUGCUCGGAAUUACUGGGCGUAAAGGGCGCGUAGGCGGACAUUUAAGUCAGGGGUGAAAUCCCAGAGCUCAACUCUGGAACUGCCUUUGAUACUGGGUGUCUUGAGUGUGAGAGAGGUAUGUGGAACUCCGAGUGUAGAGGUGAAAUUCGUAGAUAUUCGGAAGAACACCAGUGGCGAAGGCGACAUACUGGCUCAUUACUGACGCUGAGGCGCGAAAGCGUGGGGAGCAAACAGGAUUAGAUACCCUGGUAGUCCCUGAGCGGGCUGGCAAGGCGCAU